This 514-nucleotide ribosomal RNA is filed under the name uncultured bacterium. RNAcentral's name for it is "bacterial SSU rRNA". It matches the Rfam family "Bacterial small subunit ribosomal RNA", at positions 16 to 507 of the family's 1533-position model. The record is from RNAcentral.
AUCCUGGCUCAGAGACGAACGUUAGCGGCGGGCCUAACACAUGCAAGUCGAACGCGAAAGGUCUUCGGACUGAGUAGAGUGGCGCACGGGUGAGUAACACGUAGGUAAUCUACCCUUUGGCGGGGGAUAACGUUCCGAAAGGAGCGCUAAUACCGCAUAAGACCACGGAGUCUCCGGACGCUGUGGGAAAAGGUGGCCUCUUCUUGAAAGCUAUCACCGAAGGAUGAGCCUGCGUCCCAUCAGCUAGUUGGUAAGGUAAUGGCUUACCAAGGCGAAGACGGGUAGCUGGUUUGAGAGAAUGAUCAGCCACACUGGCACUGGAACACGGGCCAGACUCCUACGGGAGGCAGCAGUGAGGAAUAUUGGGCAAUGGGCGAAAGCCUGACCCAGCCACGCCACGUGAGUGAUGAAGGCCCUCGGGUCGUAAAGCUCUGUGGAGAGGGACGAAAACCCUGGUUUCAAAUAGGCUCCAGGCUUGACGGUACCUCUUUAGCAAGCACCGGCUAACUCUGUG